Molecule: ribosomal RNA, 253 nt
Filed under: uncultured bacterium
Lineage: Bacteria
Description: partial 16S ribosomal RNA
Rfam family: Bacterial small subunit ribosomal RNA
Source: RNAcentral
UACGUAGGGGGCUAGCGUUGUCCGGAAUCAUUGGGCGUAAAGAGCGUGUAGGCGGUCCGGUAAGUCCGCUGUGAAAGUCGGGGGCUCAACCCUCGAAAGCCGGUGGAUACUGUCGGGCUAGAGUACGGAAGAGGCGAGUGGAAUUCCUGGUGUAGCGGUGAAAUGCGCAGAUAUCAGGAGGAACACCAAUUGCGAAGGCAGCUCGCUGGGACGUUACUGACGCUGAGACGCGAAAGCGUGGGGAGCAAACAGG